CCCUUAGAUGCUCUGGGCCGCACGCGCGCUACACUGAAGGGAUCAGCGUGUUUUCCCUUUCCGAGAGGAACGGGUAACCCGCUGAACCCCCUUCGUGGUAGGGAUCGGAGCUUGCAAUUGUUCUCCGUGAACCAGGAAUUCCCAGUAAGCGCAAGUCAUAAGCUUGCGUUGAUUACGUCCCUGCCCUUUGUACACACCGCCCGUCGCUACUACCGAUUGAACGUUUUAGUGAGGUAUUUGGACUGGGCCUUGGGAGGUUUCGGCCUCCCUUGUUGCUCGGAAAGACUCCCAAACUUGAGCGUUUAGAGGAAGUAAAAGUCGUAACA
Molecule: ribosomal RNA, 326 nt
Filed under: uncultured eukaryote
Lineage: Eukaryota
Description: partial 18S ribosomal RNA
Rfam family: Eukaryotic small subunit ribosomal RNA
Source: RNAcentral